RNAcentral lists this microRNA precursor (87 nucleotides) under Ricinus communis (castor bean). RNAcentral describes it as "mir-160 microRNA precursor family". It matches the Rfam family "mir-160 microRNA precursor family". Rfam says of the family: The hairpin precursors (represented here) are predicted based on base pairing and cross-species conservation -- their extents are not known. In this case the mature sequence is excised from the 5' arm of the hairpin. The record is from Rfam by way of RNAcentral. Lineage: Eukaryota; Viridiplantae; Streptophyta; Magnoliopsida; Malpighiales; Euphorbiaceae.
AUCUGCCUGGCUCCCUGGAUGCCAACUAAGAAGUUUAUCAAUGAGCAUUGACAACAUCCUAGUUGGCAUCAGAGGAGUCAAGCAGGU